Molecule: transfer RNA, 106 nt
Filed under: Burkholderiales bacterium
Lineage: Bacteria; Pseudomonadati; Pseudomonadota; Betaproteobacteria; Burkholderiales
Description: tRNA-Ser
Source: RNAcentral
GCACCGAGAUUUAUUACUAGGAUGGACACCAGCGAACGACGGCAAACCCGGCUUUCGGCCCCUCCUAAGGGGUAGGUCGCACGUUCGAUUCGUGUUCGGGGCGCCA